UACAGAGACUGCAAGCGUUAUUCGGAUUCACUGGGCGUAAAGGGUGCGCAGGCGGCCAAGUGUGUUAGGCGUGAAAGCCCGGGGCUUAACCUCGGAAUUGCACCUAAAACUACAUGGCUAGAGCAUUGGAGAGGGUAGCGGAAUUCACGGUGUAGCAGUGAAAUGCGUAGAUAUCGUGAGGAACACCAGAGGCGAAGGCGGCUACCUGGACAAUUGCUGACGCUCAGGCACGAAAGCGUGGGGAGCAAACAGG
RNAcentral lists this ribosomal RNA (253 nucleotides) under uncultured bacterium. RNAcentral describes it as "partial 16S ribosomal RNA". It matches the Rfam family "Bacterial small subunit ribosomal RNA", at positions 524 to 776 of the family's 1533-position model. The record is from RNAcentral.